This 306-nucleotide ribosomal RNA is filed under the name uncultured Arthrobacter sp. Its description in RNAcentral is "bacterial SSU rRNA". It matches the Rfam family "Bacterial small subunit ribosomal RNA", at positions 29 to 334 of the family's 1533-position model. The record is from RNAcentral. Lineage: Bacteria; Bacillati; Actinomycetota; Actinomycetes; Micrococcales; Micrococcaceae.
AGUGAACGCUGGCGGCGUGCUUAACACAUGCAAGUCGAACGAUGAAGCCCAGCUUGCUGGGUGGAUUAGUGGCGAACGGGUGAGUAACACGUGAGUAACCUGCCCCCGACUCUGGGAUAAGCCCGGGAAACUGGGUCUAAUACCGGAUAUGACCUCGCACCGCAUGGUGCGGGGUGGAAAGAUUUAUCGGUGGGGGAUGGACUCGCGGCCUAUCAGCUUGUUGGUGAGGUAAUGGCUCACCAAGGCGACGACGGGUAGCCGGCCUGAGAGGGUGACCGGCCACACUGGGACUGAGACACGGCCCAG